RNAcentral lists this ribosomal RNA (1311 nucleotides) under metagenome. RNAcentral's name for it is "bacterial LSU rRNA". It matches the Rfam family "Bacterial large subunit ribosomal RNA", at positions 1595 to 2925 of the family's 2925-position model. The record is from RNAcentral.
UGAUUUCACACUGUCAAGAAAAGCCGCUAGCGAGACUGUAGGUGCCCGUACCGCAAACCGACACAGGUAGAUGAGGAGAGAAUCCUAAGGUGAGCGAGAGAACUAUUGUUAAGGAACUCGGCAAAAUGACCCCGUAACUUCGGGAGAAGGGGUGCCAUCGAAAGAUGGCCGCAGUGAAAAGGCCCAGGCGACUGUUUACCAAAAACACAGGUCUCUGCUAAAGCGAAAGCUGAAGUAUAGGGGCUGACGCCUGCCCGGUGCUGGAAGGUUAAGGGGACUGCUUAGAGCGAUCGAAGGCAUGAACUUAAGCCCCAGUAAACGGCGGCCGUAACGAUAACGGUCCUAAGGUAGCGAAAUUCCUUGUCAGGUAAGUUCUGACCCGCACGAAAGGCGUAACGAUCUGGGCACUGUCUCAACAAUAGACUCGGUGAAAUUGUAGUACCGGUAAAGAUGCCGGUUACCCGCAGCAGGACGGAAAGACCCCAUGGAGCUUUACUGCAGCUUGAUAUUGGAAUUCGGCAUUGCAUGUACAGGAUAGGUGGGAGACUGAGAGAAGAGUACGCCAGUAUUCUUGGAGUCACCGUUGGGAUACCACCCUUGUAAUGUUGAGUUUCUAACGACGUGCCGUGAACCGGCACUCGGACAGUGUCUGGCGGGCAGUUUGACUGGGGCGGUCGCCUCCUAAAGAGUAACGGAGGCGCCCAAAGGUUCCCUCAGUGCGGACGGAAAUCGCACGAAGAGUGUAAAGGCAGAAGGGAGCUUGACUGCGAGACAAACAGGUCGAGCAGGGACGAAAGUCGGGCUUAGUGAUCCGGUGGUACCGAGUGGAAGGGCCAUCGCUCAACGGAUAAAAGCUACCCUGGGGAUAACAGGCUGAUACCCCCCAAGAGUCCACAUCGACGGGGGUGUUUGGCACCUCGAUGUCGGCUCGUCUCAUCCUGGGGCUGAAGUAGGUCCCAAGGGUUGGGCUGUUCGCCCAUUAAAGAGGUACGCGAGCUGGGUUCAGAACGUCGUGAGACAGUUCGGUCCCUAUCCGCUGUGGGCGUUGGAGAUUUGAGUGGAGCUGUUCUUAGUACGAGAGGACCGGGAUGGACGUAGCUCUGGUGCACCAGUUGUACUGCCAAGUGCAUAGCUGGGUAGCCACCUACGGACGGGAUAAGCGCUGAAAGCAUCUAAGUGCGAAGCCCCCCACAAGAAAAGAUCUCCUCCAGAAAUGGUAAGACCCGUGAGAGACUAUCACGUAGAUAGGCCUCAGGUGUAAGUGCAGUAAUGUAUUAAGCUGAGAGGUACUAAUAGGUCGAACACUUGACC